GUCGUGUCUAGAAAUAAGCGUGAGUGGCAUGAGAAACUUCUUGAGGCCUUGUGGGCUUAUAGAACCACAACACGUACACCAACUGGAAUGACACCAUACUCCCUCGUAUUUGGAGGAGAGGCAGUUCUGCCAUUAGAGGUACAAAUUACCUCGCUUAGAGUUGCUAUUCAGGAGAAACUUUCUGAAGAAGAGGCCAUAAAAUUACGCCUCGAGGAACUCGAAAUGCUCGAAGGAAAACGCCUUCAGGCAUUACAAAAUUUGGAGGCGUAUCAGGCUAGAAUGUCCCGUGCUUUCGACAAGCGCGUUAAAAGGAGGUCAUUCAAGCAAGGAGACCUAGUGCUCACCAUCAUCCGUCCAAUGAAUGUUACACGACGGAUAGGGGGAAAGUUCGAGCCAAAAUGGGAGGGUCCCUACAUCAUAAAAGAGGUCUACUCUAGUGGUGCAUACAGGAUAAUUUCCCCUGACGGCAAGUAUUGCCCGCCACCGAUAAACGGGAAAUUCCUUAAGCGCUAUUAUGCUUGA
This 522-nucleotide ribosomal RNA is filed under the name Triticum aestivum (bread wheat). RNAcentral's name for it is "partial small subunit ribosomal RNA". The record is from RNAcentral. Lineage: Eukaryota; Viridiplantae; Streptophyta; Magnoliopsida; Poales; Poaceae.